GCGACCUGUGGUAUAACUGUAGAAAAUCUAGAGCUAAUACAUGCACGAGUACAGCGCCGAUCCCCGGAGAGGCGCGCGUUUAUUAGACCAAGACCGGCGCCGGGGCCCCGUGUCCCGGCCACUCCGUGUUGACUCUGGAUAACAUUGCCGAUCGCCCGGCCUCGCUGCCGGCGACGUAUCUUUCAAAUGUCUGACCUAUCAGCUGGUUGGCCGUAGAGGUGACGGCCACGGGAUUGACGGGUAACGGGGAAUCAGGGUUUGAUUCCGGAGAGGGAGCCUGAGAAACGGCUACCACUUCUAAGGAAGGCAGCAGGCGCGCAAAUUACCCACUCUCGACUCGAGGAGGUAGUGAAGAGAAAUAACGUGACGCUAACCCCAAGAGGCUGCGUUGGGGAAUGAGACCCGUUUAAAGCCUUGUCUGAUGACCCAGUAGAGGGCAAGUCUGGUGCCAGCAGCCCUGGGGCCCAGGCGGGUGAAUCCCCUUGGAUGGGCGUGCGCCCGUUGGCCCACAUUACUUUGAAAAAAUUAGGGUGUUUCAGGCAGGCUGAAUACGGGCUUGGAUAGUCUAACAUGGAAUAACAGUUAAUUGAACUCCGGUUCCCUUCUCUGCUGGUCUACGGAACUUGCGAGCCAUGGCUAAGAGGGACAGACGGGGGCGGAAGUACUACGGCGUGAGAGGUGAAAUUCCAGGACCGCCGUAAGACUAACGAACGCGAAAGCAUUCGCCCAGAAUGUUUUCAUUAGUCAAGAACGAAAGUUGGUGUAGCGAAGAGGAUCAGAUACCCUCCUAGUACUGACCGUAAACGAUGCCAACAGGAGGCCGGCGGAAGUAACUUGCAUUGUGGGACUUGGCACCGUCGGAACCCCGCGGGAAACCCGAGUGUCUGGGUUCUGGGGGUAGUAUGGUUGCAAAGCUGAAACUUAAAGGUAUUGACGGAAGGGCACCACAAGGAGUGGAGCUUGCGGCUUAAUUUGACUCAACGCGGGGCAACUCACCCGGUCCGGACACCGCGGGGAUUGACAGAUUGAUAGCUCUUUCUUGAUUCGGUGGGUGGUGGUGCAUGGCCGUUCUUAGUACGUGGUGCAAACUGUCAGGUUAAAUCCGCUAACGUACGCGACUCUAGCCUAUUUACUAGAGCUGGACGAUGAUAAUAAGUCGCCGAUGCGAGGAACUUCUUAGGGGGAUCCAUUGCGUGGGAGAAGCGGAUGAAAUAGAGCAAUAACAGGUCUGUGAUGCCCUUAGAUGUUCGGGGCCGCACGCGCGCUACACUGAAAAAGAAAGAGGGUGUCCGAGUAUGAGCCGGGCGCGCGAGCCGCCUUAGAGAAAUCUUAGAAACCUUAUCGUGCUAGGGAUUAGGGUUUGGAACUGUUGCCUAUCAACGAGGAAUUCCAAGUAAGUGCGAGUGACUAGCUUGCGUUGAUCAAGUCCCUGACCUUUGUACACACCGCC
RNAcentral lists this ribosomal RNA (1450 nucleotides) under Trypanosyllis taboadai. RNAcentral describes it as "SSU rRNA". It matches the Rfam family "Eukaryotic small subunit ribosomal RNA", at positions 131 to 1673 of the family's 1831-position model. The record is from RNAcentral. Lineage: Eukaryota; Metazoa; Annelida; Polychaeta; Phyllodocida; Syllidae.